GACUGAUCGCGACUGAACUAAAUACUGAACUGAACGCAAACGGCAGGAUUGAACCCCACGCAAGACUCUCUGGCUCCUGCCUGCUGGAAGCUACUAAUAAAAAAUAAGGAGCUGACUCCUGACACUGAAAACAGACAAGACUGAGUUUCUGGUGAGACCUGGCAUAAAUUAAAUCCAGGCAAAGUAAAGCCGGAGGGUGCUACUCAGCCAGUUCAACAAGUGGAUGGACAUAGAGAUACUCCUAUCACCCCAUUUGAUGCAUCAACAUGCUACUACUACAUGACUCAGUUAAAGAUACAGUCAAAUUGGGGAGAUAUACUGAUAGACUGGGGCAAUCAGACCAACUUCUUUUUGUCAACAUAAUGGCAUUACUAAUUCCCUGUACACUUACCAUUUGCACUGGGAAAGUAUCGACACAAGGAUUUCAGAAAGACUUACACCAGCUAACGCAAAUAAAGUUGUUUCCUGUUACCAGCAAGCCUUGCAAAACUGUGCUGAAUCCCUUUUUAAUCCCUGAAAGUCCAAUCAGAAGGUUAGAGACUAGCAGAAUCAUUACAGAAGGUACAUAACUUCAAUGUUUCUUCCUUGCAACAUCUCUGAUGUAGUACUACAAUGAAUUUGCACUCAGAACAGGUCCAUCAUCAGGAUUAAGCAGCUGUGUUGUUGGGUUUUUUUAGUUCUUAGUAAUUGAGACAGCAAUGAGAUGCCCCUUGGUUCAUCUCUCUCUUUUACCAUUUUGUCUGCAAUAUACAUAGUUGCAGAACAAGUUCACUCUUCAAAGGUAGAUUUCAGUGUGAAAGUUAGAAUAUCAGGAAGCUUGUUUCUAUCCAUUUAGACUUUAAUCAAGUUGAUGGUUUCCUGUCCCAUCACAAAAGAUUAUAUUCUCAUCAAUUACUGCUGUUGUGAACAGUCACUGUGCUUAUCUUAAGCUCUACAUAAAUUGUACUUUUUGGAAUUCAUUGCCAAAUGAUCUCAUUGUUUGCCGUUGUUGUUUUUCUCUUUACCCAUGUAUUAUAUGCCUGCCAACUGAAGAUCUCUCAUCUAUUAAUGUUUAUGCCAUAAUACACCUGUUAAUCUUUAAAGUGCCACAGGACUUUGCAAUUUUUAUUUGAAAGCCUUACUGAAAAAUCAAGAAACAACCAGAAUUUAAUUGCUCAUACAAGUUACUUUUUUAUUAAUAAUACAAAGUAAAGGAUACAAAAAAGAACACAAAUAUAAAGGGCAGAUUGCAAAGCAAUUAAGCAAACAAACACCAAGGAUAAGGAAAAUAAGCAUGAUUGCUAGGAUGUAAAUAAUUAAAUAUAAAAGCUAUCAAAGACAAAUCUGUAAUUAAGGGGGGAAAACCCUUAGGAGAGUUAGUAGUCAUAAGCCCAGAAUCAUCUAAACUUGAGGAAGAUCAUACUAAUAUCUUUAUCUUCUUUGUCCAAAAUUUCUUGAACAGUGCCCAUUUCUGUUCAAAUCGGUUUCUGUUUUCCCUCCCUUGUUGUACCCAUAAAAUCCAAGUGAUUUUGCUUAAGGUUGCAGAUUCUCAUAGAUUGAUGUACCAUUCUUUUCAACAAGUG
Long non-coding RNA from Rhineura floridana, 1562 nucleotides. RefSeq lists it as uncharacterized. The record is from RefSeq and is a predicted model, not a curated record. NCBI's taxonomy places the organism in Eukaryota, Metazoa, Chordata, Lepidosauria, Squamata, Rhineuridae. The transcript has 4 exons.